This 498-nucleotide ribosomal RNA is filed under the name uncultured Actinomycetes bacterium. RNAcentral's name for it is "bacterial SSU rRNA". It matches the Rfam family "Bacterial small subunit ribosomal RNA", at positions 8 to 522 of the family's 1533-position model. The record is from RNAcentral. Lineage: Bacteria; Bacillati; Actinomycetota; Actinomycetes.
AGAGUUUGAUCCUGGCUCAGGACGAACGCUGGCGGCGUGCUUAACACAUGCAAGUCGAGCGGAAAGGCCUCUUCGGGGGUACUCGAGCGGCGAACGGGUGAGUAACACGUGAGUAAUCUGCCCUUCACACAUGGAUAACCACCGGAAACGGUGGCUAAUACAUGAUACGACACGUCUUCGCAUGAGGUGCGUGUGGAAAGUUUUUUCGGUGGAGGAUGUGCUCGCGGCCUAUCAGCUUGUUGGUGGGGUAAUGGCCUACCAAGGCUUCGACGGGUAGCCGGCCUGAGAGGGUGACCGGCCACACUGGGACUGAGACACGGCCCAGACUCCUACGGGAGGCAGCAGUGGGGAAUAUUGGACAAUGGGCGGAAGCCUGAUCCAGCAACGCCGCGUGAGGGAUGACGGCCUUCGGGUUGUAAACCUCUUUCAGUACCGACGAAGCGAGAGUGACGCGGCACAGAAGAAGCACCGGCCAACUACGUGCCAGCAGCCGCGGUA